Hipposideros armiger (great roundleaf bat) is the source of this 1915-nucleotide long non-coding RNA. RefSeq lists it as uncharacterized. NCBI's taxonomy places the organism in Eukaryota, Metazoa, Chordata, Mammalia, Chiroptera, Hipposideridae. The record is from RefSeq and is a predicted model, not a curated record. The transcript has 3 exons.
CCUGUUGCUCAGAGCUCGUGCUCUUAACCAACUGAGCCACUCGGCCAGCCCCAAAUUUCCUUUUUCUCAUAAGGGUACCAGCCGUUGUAUGAGAGCCCACUAUAAUCCAGUAUGACCACGUCUUAACUUAAUUACAUCUGCCAAAACCCUAUUUUGAAAUAAGGUCAAAUUCACAGGUUCUGAGUGGACAUGAAUUUUGGGGGACACUAUUCAACCCAGGAUAGCCCUCACCCAUAUAUGGUGGAAAACCCUGUGUCCCGUGAGGGCUCCCACGCUUCUCCUGCCUCUCCCCCAUGUUUCCUGCUUCUGCUGAGUAUUCGAUGGGUGGUCUGCGCUGGACACCACCCAACUCCAUCAUUUGUGCAUCUUUCAUGUGGGUCAUUCUGGGCAGCGGACGCUCACUGACGUUUAGAGUGACCGAACAGCAUAUUACAGAUGACAACUGGUGCAUUUCUUGGCAGUCUGGACCCUGGACAGAGGCAAAGAGCAGGACCCACCUUCCAGACCAGCAGAAGACACGGGGGUGCUUCCCUAAACUGCAUCAAGCUGGCCCCCAAAGAACAAAAAUUCUGAAGAGCAAGGCCCAGAGCCAAGAAUGUUUAAGCCAGAAGGGGCUUCUAUGAGGAAGGAAACAGACACGGUCUCUGCCCCCGCCUCCCGAGUUCUGCCGUGAGUGUCUGGCCUGUGAAGGGGGCCUGGGCGCAGGGAGGCAGGUGAGCACGAGGGCUGGCUCCUACGGGGGUGGAGGUGGCCACGCACGGGUUGGAUUUAGUCAAGUGAAUUGUUUCUUGGUUGUGAGACCAGAGCACAGGCAAUAAAAGAAAAAAUUGAUGAGUUGGACUUCAUCAAAUGUAAAAACUUUUGUGCAUCAAAGGGCACUAUCAAGGGAAUGAAAACACACCCCACAGAGUGGGAGAAAAUCUCCACAGUCGUGUAUCUGAGACGGGACUAAUAUCCAGAAUAGAUAAAGAAAGUCUACACCUCAAACAACAACAGUGAAAAUCCAAUUUUAAAAUGGGCAAAGGGUUGGGAUAGACGGUUUUGAAAAAGGAGAUACACAAAUGGCCAAUAAGCACAUGAAAAAUCAUGCUAUCACCAACAUCACACAAUGUCAGUAUCACUGGGGAAAUGCAAAUCGAAACCACAAUGAGGGACCACCUCACACUCAUGAGGACGGCUGCCAUCAAAAAGCAAAACAAGAACAGGAAUUACAAAUGUUGGUGGGGAAAUCGGAACCCUCAUGCACUGCUGGGAGGAACAUCAAAUGGUGCAGCCGCUGUGGAAAACAGUUUGGCAGUUGCUCAGGAAGCUAACUAUAGAAAUUCCCCUGUGAUCCCACUCCUAUGUGUAUUCCCAAAGAAUUGAAAGCAGGGACUGGCACACACUUGCACACCCAUGUUCAUUGCAGCACAAUUCACAGUGGCCAGCAGGUGGAAACAACCCAAGUGUCCAUCCACAGACGAUGGAGAGGCAAACCGGUCCCUUCACAUGAUGGACUAGGACUCAGCCCUCAAAAGGAAGGAAUUCGGACCCUGCUACAACAUGGAUGGACCCUGAGGACGUGACGCUACGUGACACGAGCCAGGCACAAAAGGACAGACAUUGUAUGAUCCUGCUUGUGUGAGGGACCCAGCGUAGGUAAAUUCAUAGGGACAGAAAGUAAGCGUGAACGGGUGGGGGAGGGGAAUUAGUGUUUGGUGGGGACAGAGUUUCUGUCUGGGGUGAUGAAAAAGCUCUGGGAGCAGAUAGUGGUAGUGGUUGCACCGUUUUGCGAAUAUAAUGAAUGCCACUGAAUUGCACACUUAGAAACGGUUACAAUAAUGAACAGUAUGGUAUGUAUACAUUUACCAUAAUUUUUAAAAAUUGGUAAUGCAAUAUACCAAAAGCCAUUGAAUUGUCCACUUUCAAUGGGUGA